AUUGAACGCUGGCGGCAGGCCUAACACAUGCAAGUCGAACGGUAACAGGAAGAAGCUUGCUUCUUUGCUGACGAGUGGCGGACGGGUGAGUCAUGUCUGGGAAACUGCCUGAUGGAGGGGGAUAACUACUGGAAACGGUAGCUAAUACCGCAUAACGUCGCAAGACCAAAGAGGGGGACCUUCGGGCCUCUUGCCAUCGGCUGUGCCCAGAUGGGAUUAGCUAGUAGGUGGGGUAACGGCUCACCUAGGCGACGAUCCCUAGCUGGUCUGAGAGGAUGACCAGCCACACUGGAACUGAGACACGGUCCAGACUCCUACGGGAGGCAGCAGUGGGGAAUAUUGCGCAAUGGGCGAAAGCCUGAUGCAGCCAUGCCGCGUGUAUGAAGAAGGCCUUCGGGUUGUAAAGUACUUUCAGCGGGGAGGAAGGGAGUAAAGUUAAUACCUGUGCUCAUUGACGUUACCCGCAGAAGAAGCACCGGCUAACUACGUG
Molecule: ribosomal RNA, 490 nt
Filed under: uncultured bacterium
Lineage: Bacteria
Description: partial 16S ribosomal RNA
Rfam family: Bacterial small subunit ribosomal RNA
Source: RNAcentral